GACGAACGCUGGCGGCGUGCCUAAUACAUGCAAGUAGAACGCUGAAGAGAGGAGCUUGCUCUUCUUGGGUGAGUUGCGAACGGGUGAGUAACGCGUAGGUAACCUGCCUUGUAGCGGGGGAUAACUAUUGGAAACGAUAGCUAAUACCGCAUAACAAUGGAUGACACAUGUCAUUUAUUUGAAAGGGGCAAUUGCUCCACUACAAGAUGGACCUGCGUUGUAUUAGCUAGUAGGUGAGGUAAUGGCUCACCUAGGCGACGAUACAUAGCCGACCUGAGAGGGUGGUCGGCCACACUGGGACUGAGACACGGCCCAGACUUCUACGGGAGGCAGCAGUAGGGAAUCUUCGGGAAUGGGGGCAACCCUGACCGAGCAACGCCGCGGGAGUGAAGAAGGGUUUCGGAUCGUAAAGCUCUGUUGUAAGUCAAGAACGGGUGUGAGAGUGGAAAGUUCACACUGUGACGGUAGCUUACCAGAAAGGGACGGCUAACUACGUG
RNAcentral lists this ribosomal RNA (497 nucleotides) under uncultured bacterium. Its description in RNAcentral is "partial 16S ribosomal RNA". It matches the Rfam family "Bacterial small subunit ribosomal RNA", at positions 28 to 507 of the family's 1533-position model. The record is from RNAcentral.